Molecule: long non-coding RNA, 202 nt
Filed under: Physcomitrium patens
Lineage: Eukaryota; Viridiplantae; Streptophyta; Bryopsida; Funariales; Funariaceae
Description: long non-coding RNA (PPAT_LNC001708)
Source: RNAcentral
AAUAAUAUUUACGAGGACGCUGCACAGAUAGGAGUGGGACUAUGUAGAAUAGGCAAAUAAACUUUGUGGUAAGUUACUGAUUGGUUAUUAAUAAUCUUAAAAAUUAGACUUAUGAUUAGGCAAUUUAGUUGAUAAUAAUACGUUGUUAGUAGAACAAAUGGUUAAGAAUUCAAAGGAUCAUAACCUUUGAAAUUUGCUGGCC